This 29-nucleotide non-coding RNA is filed under the name Mus musculus (house mouse). The record is from RNAcentral. Lineage: Eukaryota; Metazoa; Chordata; Mammalia; Rodentia; Muridae.
CNGCAUUGCCAGGAUCAGGAACAGUCCUC